AAAACGUGACAAGAUCUGCAAAGUUCAUAGUAGAACCAUAGCUAGGUUAAAUGUAAGAAUUUAUCGAUAGGAGUGCCAUUCAAAACGUUGCAUCUGUUCAGAGGACAAAAAAUGCUGACGACUUUGUUGCACAAUGACAUGUUGAGUUUAGAUACCACUGAAAGUGAACAUCAGUGGAACUUUGAUGAUCUAGGCCACUCUAUUUGUUGCAGCAACACCAGCAGGCGUCGGCCAUUCAUAAAGUUGAAAGAACAAACCUAUGACUUGAACACACAAUUUGUGAUCUGAAUAUAGUUCACAAAUUUAAGGAAAGCAACUAUUAAGGUCAUUCAGAUCAAUGGUAUACAUGAAGUAUGAGUAAAAGACUUUUAAGAAGAACAAGCACAAUCCCGAUUCAUUCUUGCCAUUACCUUCCCCAGAGGGCGACAUUCAG
This is a long non-coding RNA of Saccostrea cuccullata (small rock oyster), 433 nucleotides long. RefSeq lists it as uncharacterized. The record is from RefSeq and is a predicted model, not a curated record. Lineage: Eukaryota; Metazoa; Mollusca; Bivalvia; Ostreida; Ostreidae. The transcript has 3 exons.